AAUAUUUGAAUCCAUGUACCUAAGAACUCAAUGUUGUGACCGUUGGUCUUAUUUGAAAAAAAAUUAUGAUUAAUAUUUUUAUUAUUAUUAGAUGAUAAAAUAUAAAUAAUACUUUAUGUGUGACUUUUUUUUAAAAAAAAUUCAUAAAUUUUUCAAAUAAAACGACAAACGUUGAAUACGGAUAUUUACGGCUUAACUUAUU
RNAcentral lists this microRNA precursor (202 nucleotides) under Oryza glumipatula. RNAcentral's name for it is "MIR812 microRNA precursor family". It matches the Rfam family "MIR812 microRNA precursor family". The record is from Rfam by way of RNAcentral. Lineage: Eukaryota; Viridiplantae; Streptophyta; Magnoliopsida; Poales; Poaceae.